UGGCGAUGAUGUUCGAACUAAGGCUUGUUUCUCAAAACAUUUGCAGAUGCCGCCUAAGAGCUUUCGCCUUGCGCUUGAGAGCUAAUGCUGCUAAUUCCUUCCUUGGGAUGUCUGAGCCG
Triticum aestivum (bread wheat) is the source of this 119-nucleotide non-coding RNA. NCBI's taxonomy places the organism in Eukaryota, Viridiplantae, Streptophyta, Magnoliopsida, Poales, Poaceae. The record is from Rfam.